RNAcentral lists this ribosomal RNA (520 nucleotides) under uncultured archaeon. RNAcentral's name for it is "bacterial SSU rRNA". It matches the Rfam family "Archaeal small subunit ribosomal RNA", at positions 325 to 849 of the family's 1478-position model. The record is from RNAcentral.
ACGGGGUGCAGCAGGCGCGAAAACUCCGCAAUGCGCGCAAGCGCGACGGGGCUACCCCGAGUGCCGUCCGCUGAGGAUGGCUUUUCUCUGGUGUAAUGAGCCAGAGGGAUAAGGGGAGGGCAAGCCUGGUGUCAGCCGCCGCGGUAAUACCAGCUCCUCGAGUGGUGGGGAUGUUUAUUGGGCCUAAAGCGUCCGUAGCCUGCUCGGCAAGUCCUCCGUUAAAUCCAACGAUCUAAUCGUUGGGCUGCGGGGGAUACUGCAGGGCUAGGGGGCGGGAGAAGUCGACGGUACUCUUGGGGUAGGGGUGAAAUCCUAUAAUCCCAGGAGGACAACCAGUGGCGAAGGCGGUCGGCUAGAACGCGCCCGACGGUGAGGGACGAAAGCUGGGGGAGCGAUCCGGAUUAGAUACCCGGGUAGUCCCAGCUGUAAACGAUGCAGGCUAGGUGUUAGUGUGACUACGAGUCGCGCUAGUGCCGCAGGGAAGCCGUUAAGCCUGCCGCCUGGAAGUACGUCGCAAGAC